This 449-nucleotide ribosomal RNA is filed under the name uncultured bacterium. RNAcentral describes it as "partial 16S ribosomal RNA". It matches the Rfam family "Bacterial small subunit ribosomal RNA", at positions 29 to 523 of the family's 1533-position model. The record is from RNAcentral.
AACGAACGCUGGCGGCAUGCCUAACACAUGCAAGUCGAACGAGAUCUUCGGGUCUAGUGGCGCACGGGUGCGUAACGCGUGGGAAUCUGCCCUUUGGUUCGGAAUAACAGUUGGAAACGACUGCUAAUACCGGAUGAUGACGAAAGUCCAAAGAUUUAUCGCCAGGGGAUGAGCCCGCGUAGGAUUAGCUAGUUGGUGUGGUAAAGGCGCACCAAGGCGACGAUCCUUAGCUGGUCUGAGAGGAUGAUCAGCCACACUGGGACUGAGACACGGCCCAGACUCCUACGGGAGGCAGCAGUGGGGAAUAUUGGACAAUGGGCGAAAGCCUGAUCCAGCAAUGCCGCGUGAGUGAUGAGGGCCUUAGGGUUGUAAAGCUCUUUUACCCGGGAUGAUAAUGACAGUACCGGGAGAAUAAGCUCCGGCUAACUCCGUGCCAGCCGCCGCAGUAA